RNAcentral lists this long non-coding RNA (1112 nucleotides) under Marmota monax (woodchuck). Lineage: Eukaryota; Metazoa; Chordata; Mammalia; Rodentia; Sciuridae. The record is from RNAcentral.
CAUACUACUAUUCAAAUCUUAUCUUUUCCCUAAAAGAACCUACCAAACUGACAAUAAGCAAAGCAGUACUGUUGUAUCUGACCCACAAGUAAGAGGUUAGACAGCAUAUUCUUGAGUUAAACAUGAAUUUUGUGGCUAUAUACCAUAGUAUUUAACAAAAUUGCAGCUUUCUAGUUUUGUGACCUUGAAUAUGUCAUUAACUUGGCUGUUUUCUCAUGUACAAAGUAAAGAUGGUAAUAUGAACUCAUACCAUUUAUAUGUUAGCCUUAGUGUCUUUAUAAAACUCAGGAUAACCCUCUCCCAAAACACUUAGAACAUUGUUAUCAGAGUCGAUAUCCAACCACUUCCCUUUUCCUGUGAAAACUACAGAAACUGCAUACAAAGUUUCUAACAUUUCAAAUCUCUUAAAAAUAUUUUGUGAAUGGAAAAUAAUAUGUAGGAGGAAUAAGAAGCUUGGUGGCUAUUUAAAAUACUGAUGUUUGAUCAUUGCCACAGUUAAAAUGAUUUAUCUUGCAGUCAGGAUCUCCUGUUCCUCAUGAAUCACUAAAUGAUUUUUAAAACUGGCUUCAGACCUCAUAUUCCCACUUAGGAAAUAGAACUCAUCACACCUUAUUUGUAAUUGUAAAGUUAUAUAUUAAAGCAUGGUGAUGUAAGGUUACUGAAUGGGGGUAUAUUUUAAAAAACAACAAAGACUAGAUUGGUAAGAUAGAUGGACAGGACUGAGAGAAAAUGAUACAGUUCACUAGUUUUUGAACCUUACACAAAGAAAUGUUUCAUCUAAAACAAAGGCUUGGAUUUUCAUUUCAAAUAUGUAGAAGAGGUGAACAUUUCUGGGCAGUCCUCAUGUUUCUAGGGGUAUUUUAAGGUCAAGAUAAUUUCUCUUCAGGUUGAGGGGGACAAUUAUAAGUAUUAACGGUAUUAAUCAGUCAUUUUCCUCUUAGUAGUUAACAUGUGAGCGAUCACAUACCAACAACUAUUCAAUAAGUAUCAAUACCAUUUUACAGGUGAGGGAAAAAGGGGUACAGGUUAACUUGUCCAAAGCCACAUAGAUGGUAUGUGGCAGAGCUAAGAGUUGAACUUUGGCAGUGUGAUUCUCUUUGUUUGUUUUUGCG